UGAGGGAUAUUGGUCAAUGGGCGCAAGCCUGAACCAGCGACGCCGCGUGGGUGAAGAAGGUCUUCGGAUCGUAAAGCCCUUUUCCCACUGAAGAGGAAGGACGGUAGGUGGGGAAGAAGUCUCGGCUAACUACGUGCAAGCAGCCGCGGUAAAACGUAGGAGACAAGCGUUAUCCGGAGUUACUGGGCGUAAAGGGCGUGCAGGUGGCGUCUUAAGUCUGUUGUGAAAGCGCCUGGCUUAACCGGGCGAGGCCAAUGGAGACUGAGAGGCUGGAGGAUGGCGGAGGGGUGUGGAAUUGCGGGGGUAGUGGUGAAAUGCGUAGAGGUCCGGAGGAACACCAGAGGCGAAGGCGGCACUCUAAGCCGUACCUGACACUGAGACGCGACAGCACGGGGAGCAAACG
RNAcentral lists this ribosomal RNA (403 nucleotides) under uncultured bacterium. Its description in RNAcentral is "bacterial SSU rRNA". It matches the Rfam family "Bacterial small subunit ribosomal RNA", at positions 355 to 774 of the family's 1533-position model. The record is from RNAcentral.